CCUGGAGCUCACUGUAUAGACCAGGCUGGCCUUGAUCUUACACAGAGCUCCACCAGCCUCUGCCUCCUGAGUGCUAGGAU
RNAcentral lists this microRNA precursor (80 nucleotides) under Nannospalax galili (Upper Galilee mountains blind mole rat). Its description in RNAcentral is "miRNA (ENSNGAG00000007558.1)". Lineage: Eukaryota; Metazoa; Chordata; Mammalia; Rodentia; Spalacidae. The record is from RNAcentral.